RNAcentral lists this ribosomal RNA (492 nucleotides) under uncultured bacterium. RNAcentral describes it as "partial 16S ribosomal RNA". It matches the Rfam family "Bacterial small subunit ribosomal RNA", at positions 29 to 507 of the family's 1533-position model. The record is from RNAcentral.
AGUGAACGCUGGCGGUAGGCCUAACACAUGCAAGUCGAACGGCAGCACAGUAAGAGCUUGCUCUUACGGGUGGCGAGUGGCGGACGGGUGAGGAAUACAUCGGAAUCUACUUUUUCGUGGGGGAUAACGUAGGGAAACUUACGCUAAUACCGCAUACGACCUACGGGUUAAAGCAGGGGAUCUUCGGACCUUGCGCGAUUGAAUGAGCCGAUGUCGGAUUAGCUAGUUGGCGGGGUAAAGGCCCACCAAGGCGACGAUCCGUAGCUGGUCUGAGAGGAUGAUCAGCCACACUAGAACUGAGACACGGUACAGACUCCUACGGGAGGCAGCAGUGGGGAAUAUUGGACAAUGGGCGCAAGCCUGAUCCAGCCAUACCGCGUGGGUGAAGAAGGCCUUCGGGUUGUAAAGCCCUUUUGUUGGGAAAGAAAAGCAGCAGGUUAAUACCCCGCUGUUCUGACGGUACCCAAAGAAUAAGCACCGGCUAACUUCGUG